Molecule: ribosomal RNA, 449 nt
Filed under: uncultured bacterium
Lineage: Bacteria
Description: partial 16S ribosomal RNA
Rfam family: Bacterial small subunit ribosomal RNA
Source: RNAcentral
AACGAACGCUGGCGGCAUGCCUAACACAUGCAAGUCGAACGAGAUCUUCGGGUCUAGUGGCGCACGGGUGCGUAACGCGUGGGAAUCUGCCCUUUGGUUCGGAAUAACAGUUGGAAACGACUGCUAAUACCGGAUGAUGACGAAAGUCCAAAGAUUUAUCGCCAGAGGAUGAGCCCGCGUAGGAUUAGCUAGUUGGUGUGGUAAAGGCGCACCAAGGCGACGAUCCUUAGCUGGUCUGAGAGGAUGAUCAGCCACACUGGGACUGAGACACGGCCCAGACUCCCACGGGAGGCAGCAGUGGGGAAUAUUGGACAAUGGGCGAAAGCCUGACCCAGCAAUGCCGCGUGAGUGAUGAAGGCCUUAGGGUUGUAAAGCUCUUUUACCCGGGAUGAUAAUGACAGUACCGGGAGAAUAAGCUCCGGCUAACUCCGUGCCAGCCGCCGCUGUAA